UACGUAGGGUGCAAGCGUUAAUCGGAAUUACUGGGCGUAAAGCGUGCGCAGGCGGUUUUGUAAGUUCUGUCGUGAAAUCCCCCGGGCUCAACCUGGGAAUUGCGAUGGAGACUGCAAGGCUAGAAUCUGGCAGAGGGGGGUAGAAUUCCACGUGUGAGCAGUGAAAUGCGUAGAGAUGUGGAGGAACACCGAUGGCGAAGGCAGCCCCCUGGGUCAAGAU
This 220-nucleotide ribosomal RNA is filed under the name uncultured bacterium. RNAcentral's name for it is "partial 16S ribosomal RNA". It matches the Rfam family "Bacterial small subunit ribosomal RNA", at positions 524 to 740 of the family's 1533-position model. The record is from RNAcentral.